UGGGGAAUUUUGGACAAUGGGCGAAAGCCUGAUCCAGCAAUGCCGCGUGUGUGAAGAAGGCCUUCGGGUUGUAAAGCACUUUUGUCCGGAAAGAAAUGGCUCUGGUUAAUACCUGGGGUCGAUGACGGUACCGGAAGAAUAAGGACCGGCCAUACUACGUGCCAGCAGCCGCGGUAAUACGUAGGGUCCAAGCGUUAUCGGAAUUACUGGGCGUAAAGCGUGCGCAGGCGGUUGUGCAAGACCGAUGUGAAAUCCCCGAGCUUAACUUGGGAAUUGCAUUGGUGACUGCACGGCUAGAGUGUGUCAGGGGUAGGGGUAAUAUCCACGUGUGCAGUGAAAUGCGUAGAGAUGUGGAGGAAUACCGAUGGCGAAGGCAGCCCCCAUGGGAUAACACUGACGCUCAUGCACGAAAGCGUGGGGAGCAAACAGGAUUAGAUACCCUGGUAGUCCACGCCCUAAACGAUGUCAACUAGUUGUUGGGGAUUCAUUUCCUUAGUAACGUAGCUAACGCGUGAAGUUGACCGCCUGGGGAGUACGGUCGCAA
RNAcentral lists this ribosomal RNA (544 nucleotides) under uncultured bacterium. Its description in RNAcentral is "partial 16S ribosomal RNA". It matches the Rfam family "Bacterial small subunit ribosomal RNA", at positions 355 to 891 of the family's 1533-position model. The record is from RNAcentral.